This 402-nucleotide ribosomal RNA is filed under the name uncultured bacterium. RNAcentral describes it as "bacterial SSU rRNA". It matches the Rfam family "Bacterial small subunit ribosomal RNA", at positions 83 to 486 of the family's 1533-position model. The record is from RNAcentral.
AACAGAUGGCGCACGGCGCACGGGUGCGUAACACGUGGGUAAUCUGCCCUUCGAUGGGGAAUAACCUCGCGAAAGCGAGGCUAAUUCCGCAUAACAUUCCUAAGAAUUCGGUCCCUGGACUCAAAGCCGUAAGGCGUCGAUGGAGGAACCCGCGCACGAUUAGCUAGUUGGUGAGGUAACGGCUCACCAAGGCUAUGAUCGUUAGCUGGUCUGAGAGGAUGGCCAGCCACACUGGAACUGAGACACGGUCCAGACUCCUACGGGAGGCAGCAGUGGGGAAUCUUGCGCAAUGGGCGAAAGCCUGACGCAGCGACGCCGCGUGGAGGAUGAAGCAUUUCGGUGUGUAAANGNCCUUUCGACUGGGACGAAUACCUCGCAAGAGGGGUGACGGUACCAGUAGUU